This 253-nucleotide ribosomal RNA is filed under the name uncultured bacterium. RNAcentral's name for it is "partial 16S ribosomal RNA". It matches the Rfam family "Bacterial small subunit ribosomal RNA", at positions 524 to 776 of the family's 1533-position model. The record is from RNAcentral.
UACGUAGGCAGCAAGCGUUGUUCGGAGUUACUGGGCGUAAAGGGUGCGUAGGCGGUCUUUUAAGUUUGGUGUGAAAUCUCCCGGCUCAACCGGGAGGGUGCGCCGAAUACUGAGAGGCUAGAGUGUCGGAGAGGUAAGUGGAAUUCCUGGUGUAGCGGUGAAAUGCGUAGAUAUCAGGAGGAACACCGGUGGUGUAAACGGCUUACUGGACGAUAACUGACGCUGAAGCACGAAAGCGUGGGUAGCAAACAGG